UCCCUGAGAGCUCAGUUGGUAAAGAAUCCGCCUGCAAUGCGGAUAACCCUGGUUCAAUUCCUGGGUUGGGAA
Molecule: transfer RNA, 72 nt
Filed under: Bos taurus (domestic cattle)
Lineage: Eukaryota; Metazoa; Chordata; Mammalia; Artiodactyla; Bovidae
Also listed under: 1 other name
Rfam family: tRNA
About the family: Transfer RNA (tRNA) molecules are approximately 80 nucleotides in length. Their secondary structure includes four short double-helical elements and three loops (D, anti-codon, and T loops).
Source: Rfam by way of RNAcentral